Molecule: ribosomal RNA, 724 nt
Filed under: uncultured bacterium
Lineage: Bacteria
Description: bacterial SSU rRNA
Rfam family: Bacterial small subunit ribosomal RNA
Source: RNAcentral
GGAGCUUGCUUUAUAUAACUUAGCAGCGAACGGGUGAGUAACACGUAGAUAAUCUAUCCUAUACUGGGGGAUAGCCCGAUGAAAGUUGGAUUAAUACCGCAUAUAGCUAUAUAGUUGCAUGAUUAUGUAGUGAAAGAUUUAUUGGUAUAGGAGGAGUCUGCGGCACAUUAGCUAGUAGGUGAGGUAAAGGCUUACCUAGGCGACGAUGUGUAGCCGGUCUGAGAGGAUGAACGGCCACAAUGGAACUGAGACACGGUCCAUACUCCUACGGGAGGCAGCAGUGGGGAAUAUUGCACAAUGGGGGAAACCCUGAUGCAGCAACGCCGCGUGAGUGAAGAAGGUUUUCGGAUUGUAAAGCUCUGUUAGCAGGGAAGAGGAAGGACGGUACCUGCAGAGGAAGCCACGGCUAACUACGUGCCAGCAGCCGCGGUAAUACGUAGGUGGCAAGCGUUGUUCGGAAUAACUGGGCGUAAAGGAUGCGUAGGCGGUUAAACAAGUUAUAUGUUAAAUAUAUAGGCUUAACCUGUAGAAAGCAUAUAAAACUGUUUAACUAGAGUGCAGGAGAGGUAAGUGGAAUUCCUAGUGUAGCGGUGAAAUGCGUAGAGAUUAGGAAGAACACCAGUGGCGAAGGCGACUUACUGGACUGUAACUGACGCUGAGGCAUGAGAGCAUGGGGAGCAAACAGGAUUAGAUACCCUGGUAGUCCAUGCUGUAAACGAUGGGU